UGAGGUGUAGCUCGGUGGUAGAACACUUGCCUAGCAUGCGUGAGAUCCUGAGUUCAACCCUUAGUACUUCAA
This 72-nucleotide transfer RNA is filed under the name Mus musculus (house mouse). It matches the Rfam family "tRNA". Rfam says of the family: Transfer RNA (tRNA) molecules are approximately 80 nucleotides in length. The record is from Rfam by way of RNAcentral. Lineage: Eukaryota; Metazoa; Chordata; Mammalia; Rodentia; Muridae.